ACCGUGCUGUCGCCACUUCCUCGCUCAACUGUGUACAGUUGGCCGGUCUGCAUCCAAGGCCAUGAGUUCAGGGUGGACAUGUACUGUCAGGCUUCAGCAGGAAUCACCUCCUGCCAGCUUCCUUUGGCAGGGUACACUGCUUAUUCAUGCAGAGGACCCCUCCUUAUUUGCCAGGACAAUCUAUCCUGAAAUCACCCUUUCAGCCACUGACUCCCCUCCGCAACCUGUCUUAGCAGGAGGCAUCUUCAGGACAGCUUCCCAGGGAUGGCCCUGGGAAUCAUGCUUAGCUGAAUUCAGGAUCCUGUUUUCUAGAAACUGACGUUUUAGAAACAGCUUCAGACAUAGAAGGAGCUCAACAAACGUGAGUUCAAAAGACUGAAACCCAUCAAGUGAAUUAAGUAAAUAGGACAACCACCAUCCAGCCCCACUAAACAAGUGGACAAAUUCCGUAGGCAGGCUAUCCCUGCAAAUUUCAGUUCUCAGAAAGCAGAGCACGGUGCUAUGACAGGAAAAAAGGUCUCAGGGGCAUUUCUGUGGCCCUAGAAGGAUGGCCUAUUUCCUGAAGGUAUGCAUCUAUACCUAGGCUGUCUCUCAAUACACUCAGCCGCCCGAGGACCAUCUUACAGAUGAGGAGCAAGACUCAGAGAGCAGAACAAUUGGCUCAGGGCAACCCACCGAACAGGAGUAUACCACAGAGGUUAAGAUUCAGGGUUCUGGAGCUGGAUAUCCCUGGUCACUGUUCCAGCUCUCCCUCCAACCAAUGGUAUAACCUUGGGUGACAUCUACUCUGAAUCUUUGUUUCUUCAUCCAACAGGAGCUGCUCCACAGUGUUAUCAAGGAUUGAAUGAGAUAAUCCAAGUAGGAUGCUGAGUGCCAGGCCCUGUGCACACGUAGUCAGAUCAUCAUGCAAUUAACACGCAAACCUACAGCUGUCUUAUUCUAGACCUCUUCACUGCCUUUGUGUGCACAGCUUCAUGCAACAAAAGACUCUCAGCUAAAUCUGGUUUUGGAUUUACUUCUCAACUCAUUGCAAAAUGUAUUUGAGUUUCCUGUUUCAUGUAUCAACUCCUAUGCAGAAAUGUGUGUAACAAUUGGGAGGAGAGUAUCACUGCCUCCAAAGACAGCUACAGAAAGGUCCUUCAAGCCUAUGGGGGCUGCUACGUACAGCUCCACAGGUAGCUGACUGCACAAGUCUAAGAGAAUGCUAUUUCCAUAGACAAUGAGUCAUGGGCAUCCUAAAGUCUGGUUUCUACCCCAGUCAAAUCCAGAAUGAGAUCUGAGUGGAACUGAGUCAUGGCACUGCCUGCUCUGCUGCCCCAUCCCUUUCUUUCCUUUUGUUUUCCCUGUUGGUAAACUUCAAACUACAUUAAUUUGUUCUCAGCCACAGCAAGGUUUAAAAGUUAGGGAUAUGGUUGGGCACAGUGGCUGUCAUCCUAGCACUUUGGGAGGCUGAGGCAGGAGGAUGGUUUGAGCUCAGGAGUUCAAGACCAGCUUGGACAACACAGUGAGACCUCAUUUCCACAAAACAUUUUUAAGAACUAGCCAGGCUUGGUGGUCUGCAUCUGUAGUCCCAGCUACUUGGGUGGCUGAGGUGGGAGGAUGGUUUAAGCCCAAUAGGCUGAGGCUGUAAUGAGCCAUGAUCAUGCCACUGCACUCCAGCCUGGGCGACAGAGCAAAUACCUGCCUCAAAAAAAAAAAAAAAAAAAAAGGGUAGGAAUAUAGCAAGAGGUGGUAGCAAAGACAUGGGUCCCGCCCCACACAGCUAGGGGAAAGAACAGGGGGAUUACCUGCUACUGAAACCUUGCUCAAUUGGAGGCCAGGAGCUAACACCAGGACUUGUCACAUUUAUAAAAACAAUCACACAUUAAAUUCUCAGGAGGUUUUACUCAUCUGAGAGUGAGGCCGCAAUACCAUUUCCCUCUCCUUUCUAAGGGAUGGGUGUGUUUCUUUUCCCAAUGUGGAGACAGGGGACACUCACCUUUGUCCUCAUCAUGGGCAUGGAAAAACCAUCUCUGAUUUCCAAACCAGUGGCAGAGCCACCAGCAAAGGCCAACUUCACAAAGAGGCGCAGGAUCCAGAAGACUAUGCUUCAGCUGUUUUGGAAAUGGGUAUGUUUUUUCCCCAAAGAAACAAUGUCAUGAAUGGUAGUUAAGUUCUCAGGCUGGCCUGCAAACUUAAUCCAUUAUAUACCCGCAUCAGAUGCUACUGAACCUGACCAUGUCCCAUAACAAUGUUUCUAUAGGAAAGAAGUACCCAAUUUCAACCUGGGACAUGGAUUUUAGUGACAAGGGGAAAAGGGCAGGGGGAGGAAAGGAAGAGGCUCCUGCCUUUGAAAGAAUGACAUAUUUUAUGUGUUUACUAAAUCAUCCAUACCUACCAUGCACAGACUCUAGGAUUAGUCAAUAAAAUAGUCCUUGCCCUAAAAUAAACACAGGCGCAGUGGUACAAAAUGACAGAUAAACAGUACUGGAUGACACAAUGUGAUAGGAGGAGAUCAAGAAGGGCUUGUCUAAGCUGAGAUGGAAGGAAGACAGUGUAUGUUGGAGGUUCCAGAAGGCGGGAAGAUGCAGCGUUCCAGAUGAACAGAAGAGCACGUGCAAAAAAGGCCUGGCAGUACAAGAGAACAGUGCGUGCCUGGAGGGUCUCUAAGGAGUCCAGUGUGGCCAGAGUGCCAGGGAUGUGGCAUGGCAGUGAGAGGAUUAGGUUAGAGCAAGAGAGGCAGGAGGAGGCCAGGCCUGGAAAUGGCUUCAGGAAAGCCAUGCUGGGGGGUAGGCAGAGCUCUCACCCCAAGGCAAAUGGAGAGCGGUGGAAAGGAUUAAAAGUUAGGGAUGUGGCCACGAGGUGGAAGCAACCCAAAUAUCUGCUGGGGAUGAACAGAUAAACAUAUACAUACAAUGGAUUAUUCAGGCCUAAAAAAGGAAGGAAAUCCUGACACAGGCUCCAACACUGGAUGAGCUCUGAGGACAUAAUGCUAAGUGAAAUAAGCCCGCCACAAAAGGACAGAUACUGUGAUUCCACUUCCACGAGGUGUCUAGCAGAAUCACACUCACAGAAACAGAAAGGAGAAUGGUGGUUAUCAGGCACUGGGGGGAAGGGGGAAAAUGCGAGUUGCUGAAUGGGUUCAGAGCUUCAGUUUUGCAAGAGGAAAAAGUCCUGGAGAUCUGUGGCACAACACUACAGAACUCUACACUUGAAAAUGAUUAAGACGGUAUAUGUUAUAUUAUGCACACUCCACCACAACUAAAAAUUAAAAUUUUUUUAAAAACCAA
Homo sapiens (human) is the source of this 3269-nucleotide long non-coding RNA. RefSeq lists it as uncharacterized. The transcript is spliced from 2 exons. NCBI's taxonomy places the organism in Eukaryota, Metazoa, Chordata, Mammalia, Primates, Hominidae. The record is from RefSeq and is a predicted model, not a curated record.